RNAcentral lists this ribosomal RNA (740 nucleotides) under uncultured Actinomycetaceae bacterium. Its description in RNAcentral is "bacterial SSU rRNA". It matches the Rfam family "Bacterial small subunit ribosomal RNA", at positions 49 to 776 of the family's 1533-position model. The record is from RNAcentral. Lineage: Bacteria; Bacillati; Actinomycetota; Actinomycetes; Actinomycetales; Actinomycetaceae.
UUAUACCCACAAAAAUAUCGCCCCCCCGGGGGCGAAACCUUCGGGAUGCCCUAGUAUCAGUCGGGGAGAGAGCGGGCUAUACAACUAGCAAGAAAUGUUCCCCGGGUUUGCACGGGGAAAAGUAUGACCCCUUUUAGGGGAUAUUUUGGAAGAAUAACCCCAAAAAGCAAUCCCCUAUUUGUUAAGGGCAAAGCCCAUUAAGAAGGCCUCGUUUUUUGCUGUUGGGGGUAAGGUUCACCAGGCAACAUAAUUCCGCCUGAAAGGUGAUGGCCAACUUGGAUGAGACACGGCCCAAAUCCUACGGAAGCAGCAGUAGGAAUUUUCGGCAAUGGGGCCACCCUGACCGAGCAACGCCGCGUGAGUGAAGAAGGUUUUCGGAUCGUAAAGCUCUGUUGUAAGAGAAGAACGAGUGUGAGAGUGGAAAGUUCACACUGUGACGGUAACUUACCAGAAAGGGACGGCUAACUACGUGCCAGCAGCCGCGGUAAUACGUAGGUCCCGAGCGUUAUCCGGAUUUAUUGGGCGUAAAGCGAGCGCAGGCGGUUAGAUAAGUCUGAAGUUAAAGGCUGUGGCUUAACCAUAGUACGCUUUGGAAACUGUUUAACUUGAGUGCAGAAGGGGAGAGUGGAAUUCCAUGUGUAGCGGUGAAAUGCGUAGAUAUAUGGAGGAACACCGGUGGCGAAAGCGGCUCUCUGGUCUGUAACUGACGCUGAGGCUCGAAAGCGUGGGGAGCAAACAGG